This 407-nucleotide ribosomal RNA is filed under the name uncultured bacterium. Its description in RNAcentral is "partial 16S ribosomal RNA". It matches the Rfam family "Bacterial small subunit ribosomal RNA", at positions 30 to 526 of the family's 1533-position model. The record is from RNAcentral.
AUUGAACGCUAGCGGGAUGCUUUACACAUGCAAGUCGAACGGCGUGGCGGACGGGUGAGUAAUCUAUCGGAACGUGCCCAGUAGCGGGGGAUAACUACUCGAAAGAGUGGCUAAUAACGCAUACUAUUUGAGCGUCCGAUUUCGGAUUAGCUAGUUGGUGGGGUAACGGCUCACCAAGGCAACGAUCCGUAGCUGGUUUGAGAGGAUGAACAGCCACACUGGGACGGAGGAACGGCCCAGACUCCUACGGGAGGCAGCAUUGGGGAAUUUUGGACAAUGGGGUAAACCCUGAUCCAGCCACCCCGCGUGUAUGAUGAAGGCCUUCGGGUUGUAAAGUACUUUUGGCAGAGAAGCGGUAUCUGCAGAAUAAGCACAGGCUAACUACGUGCCAGCAGCCGCGGUAAUAC